CUACGUGCCAGCAGCCGCGGUAAUACGUAGGUCCCGAGCGUUGUCCGGAUUUAUUGGGCGUAAAGCGAGCGCAGGCGGUUAGAUAAGUCUGAAGUUAAAGGCUGUGGCUUAACCAUAGUACGCUUUGGAAACUGUUUAACUUGAGUGCAAGAGGGGAGAGUGGAAUUCCAUGUGUAGCGGUGAAAUGCGUAGAUAUAUGGAGGAACACCGGUGGCGAAAGCGGCUCUCUGGCUUGUAACUGACGCUGAGGCUCGAAAGCGUGGGGAGCAAACAGGAUUAGAUACCCUGGUAGUCCACGCCGUAAACGAUGAGUGCUAGGUGUUAGACCCUUUCCGGGGUUUAGUGCCGCAGCUAACGCAUUAAGCACUCCGCCUGGGGAGUACGACCGCAAGGUUGAAACUCAAAGGAAUUGACGGGGGCCCGCACAAGCGGCGGAGCAUGCGGAUUAAUUCGAUGCAACGCGAAGAACCUUACCAAGGCUUGACAU
This 487-nucleotide ribosomal RNA is filed under the name uncultured bacterium. RNAcentral describes it as "bacterial SSU rRNA". It matches the Rfam family "Bacterial small subunit ribosomal RNA", at positions 501 to 987 of the family's 1533-position model. The record is from RNAcentral.